RNAcentral lists this ribosomal RNA (471 nucleotides) under uncultured bacterium. Its description in RNAcentral is "bacterial SSU rRNA". It matches the Rfam family "Bacterial small subunit ribosomal RNA", at positions 335 to 802 of the family's 1533-position model. The record is from RNAcentral.
ACUCCUACGGGAGGCAGCAGUGAGGAAUAUUGGUCAAUGGAGGGAACUCUGAACCAGCCAUCCCGCGUGUAGGAAGACGGCCUUAUGGGUUGUAAACUACUUUUAUACAGGAAGAAACGUACCCUCGUGAGGGUGCCUGACGGUACUGUAGGAAUAAGCACCGGCUAACUCCGUGCCAGCAGCCGCGGUAAUACGGAGGGGUGCGAGCGUUAUCCGGAUUUAUUGGGGUUUAAAGGGGUCCGUAGGCGGAUUAAUAAGUCAGUGGUGAAAUCCCAUCGCUUAACGAUGGAACUGCCAUUGAUACUGUUAGUCUUGAAUGAGGGUGCAGUGGUUGGAAUGUGUAGUGUAGCGGUGAAAUGCAUAGAUAUUACACAGAACACCGAUUGCGAAGGCAGAUCACUAACCCUAAAUUGACGCUGAGGGACGAAAGCGUGGGGAGCGAACAGGAUUAGAUACCCUGGUAGACUGUCA